Molecule: ribosomal RNA, 468 nt
Filed under: uncultured bacterium
Lineage: Bacteria
Description: partial 16S ribosomal RNA
Rfam family: Bacterial small subunit ribosomal RNA
Source: RNAcentral
GACGAACGAGGGGGGAGGGAGGAACACAUGCAAGUCGAACGGAAAGGCCCUGCUUUUGUGGGGUGCUCGAGUGGCGAACGGGUGAGUAACACGUGAGUAACCUGCCCUUGACUUUGGGAUAACUUCAGGAAACUGGGGCUAAUACCGGAUAGGAGCUCCUGCUGCAUGGUGGGGGUUGGAAAGUUUCGGCGGUUGGGGAUGGACUCGCGGCUUAUCAGCUUGUUGGUGGGGUAGUGGCUUACCAAGGCCUUGACGGGUAGCCGGCCUGAGAGGGUGACCGGCCACAUUGGGACUGAGAUACGGCCCAGACUCCUACGGGAGGCAGCAGUGGGGAAUAUUGCACAAUGGGCGGAAGCCUGAUGCAGCAACGCCGCGUGCGGGAUGACGGCCUUCGGGUUGUAAACCGCUUUCGCCUGUGACGAAGCGUGAGUGACGGUAAUGGGUAAAGAAGCACCGGCUCCCUACGUC